AUGUUAGUUAAAUUGAUGAAGAUUAAUUCUGUCUUUUAAUAAUUAGUUGAUUUGUAUAAUAUUAUAUAUAAGUUCUUGCGUGUGUUAAUUUGUUUUGUCUAAAGGAUAAAAAUAAUUUUUAAUUGUAGUUUUUAUUUUUGAAUAUUGCAUAAAUGUAGAUUCAGUUAAUUCUUUUAAGGGUUGUUAAAGGGUGUGCCAGCAUACGCGGUUAAACAUCCAACCCAGAUUAAUUUUUUUGGUUUUUAUUUAUUU
This 252-nucleotide ribosomal RNA is filed under the name Merocoris elevatus. RNAcentral's name for it is "partial small subunit ribosomal RNA". Lineage: Eukaryota; Metazoa; Arthropoda; Insecta; Hemiptera; Coreidae. The record is from RNAcentral.